UUUUAUAUUUAAAGUCUAACCUGCCCGAUGAAUUUUCAAUGGCCGCAGUAUUUUGACUGUGCAAAGGUAGCAUAAUCAUUAGUUUCUUAAUUAGGAACUUGUAUGAAUGGUUGGAUGAGAAAUUAAUUGUCUCUUAUUAAAUUUAAUAGAAUUUUAUUUUUAAGUUAAAAAGCUUAAAUUUUAAUUAAAGACGAGAAGACCCUAUAGAGUUUAAUAAAUUAAUUUUAAAUUAUUUAAAGUAUUAAUAUUUUUAAUUGUAAAUUUAUUUUAUUGGGGUGAUAUAAAAAUUUAAUGAACUUUUUUUUAUUUAAAACAAUAAUAAAUGAUUUUUUGAUCCAUAUUUUUUGAUUAUAAGUUUAAAUUACCUUAGGGAUAACAGCGUAAUUUUUUUGAAGAGUUCUAAUCGAUAAAAAAGUUUGCGACCUCGAUGUUGGAUUAAAAUUAAUUAUUGGCGUAGUAGUUAAUAAAUUAAGUCUGUUCGACUUUUAAAAUUUUACAUGAUCUGAGUUUAAACCGGUGUGAGCCAGGUUGGCUUCUAUCUUAAUUUAUUUAUAAUAUUUUAGUACGAAAGGACCAAUUAUUAAUAAAAGUUAUUUUAAUUGAAUUAAAUUGUUAUUUUGGCAGAUUAGUGCGUUAAAUUUAGAAUUUAAUUAUGUAUGUAUAUACAAAUAAUACUUGAUUUUUUUAGAUAGUUUUUUAUUAUUUAUUAGAGGUUUAAUUUUAAUUAUUUGUGUUUUAGUAGG
This 743-nucleotide ribosomal RNA is filed under the name Laccobius sp. SLE0437. Its description in RNAcentral is "partial 16S ribosomal RNA". The stretch from base 372 to 530 matches the Rfam family "Bacterial large subunit ribosomal RNA", at positions 2473 to 2632 of the family's 2925-position model. Lineage: Eukaryota; Metazoa; Arthropoda; Insecta; Coleoptera; Hydrophilidae. The record is from RNAcentral.